This 659-nucleotide ribosomal RNA is filed under the name Escherichia coli. Its description in RNAcentral is "partial 23S ribosomal RNA". It matches the Rfam family "Bacterial large subunit ribosomal RNA", at positions 2259 to 2912 of the family's 2925-position model. Lineage: Bacteria; Pseudomonadati; Pseudomonadota; Gammaproteobacteria; Enterobacterales; Enterobacteriaceae. The record is from RNAcentral.
UGGUGGGUAGUUUGACUGGGGCGGUCUCCUCCUAAAGAGUAACGGAGGAGCACGAAGGUUGGCUAAUCCUGGUCGGACAUCAGGAGGUUAGUGCAAUGGCAUAAGCCAGCUUGACUGCGAGCGUGACGGCGCGAGCAGGUGCGAAAGCAGGUCAUAGUGAUCCGGUGGUUCUGAAUGGAAGGGCCAUCGCUCAACGGAUAAAAGGUACUCCGGGGAUAACAGGCUGAUACCGCCCAAGAGUUCAUAUCGACGGCGGUGUUUGGCACCUCGAUGUCGGCUCAUCACAUCCUGGGGCUGAAGUAGGUCCCAAGGGUAUGGCUGUUCGCCAUUUAAAGUGGUACGCGAGCUGGGUUUAGAACGUCGUGAGACAGUUCGGUCCCUAUCUGCCGUGGGCGCUGGAGAACUGAGGGGGGCUGCUCCUAGUACGAGAGGACCGGAGUGGACGCAUCACUGGUGUUCGGGUUGUCAUGCCAAUGGCACUGCCCGGUAGCUAAAUGCGGAAGAGAUAAGUGCUGAAAGCAUCUAAGCACGAAACUUGCCCCGAGAUGAGUUCUCCCUGACUCCUUGAGAGUCCUGAAGGAACGUUGAAGACGACGACGUUGAUAGGCCGGGUGUGUAAGCGCAGCGAUGCGUUGAGCUAACCGGUACUAAUGAACCGU